This 253-nucleotide ribosomal RNA is filed under the name uncultured bacterium. RNAcentral's name for it is "partial 16S ribosomal RNA". It matches the Rfam family "Bacterial small subunit ribosomal RNA", at positions 524 to 776 of the family's 1533-position model. The record is from RNAcentral.
UACAGAGGUCUCAAGCGUUGUUCGGAUUCACUGGGCGUAAAGGGUGCGUAGGUGGUGAGGUAAGUCGGAUGUGAAAUCUCCGAGCUCAACUCGGAAAUGGCAUUGGAAACUACCUUGCUCGAGGGUUGGAGGGGGGACUGGAAUUCUCGGUGUAGCAGUGAAAUGCGUAGAUAUCGAGAGGAACACCAGUGGCGAAGGCGAGUCCCUGGACAACUCCUGACACUGAGGCACGAAAGCUAGGGGAGCAAACAGG